Molecule: long non-coding RNA, 399 nt
Filed under: Musa acuminata (dwarf banana)
Lineage: Eukaryota; Viridiplantae; Streptophyta; Magnoliopsida; Zingiberales; Musaceae
Description: long non-coding RNA (MACU_LNC000712)
Source: RNAcentral
GGCGCGGCGCCCCAGGGGGAGCAAUGAGGGUGACGGUCUGCGUCCGGACGUCAGCCUCACUGAGCACACAGCCCCCUCGGUGGACCCAGCACAGUCGGACGAGACGGAAGCAGGUAACGAUUGAAGCUCGCCCAUACCCUGCGAUCCCCCGGUCCCCCACGCAACAUCCUCGGCGAUGUCGGACGCCAUCAGAGGUACGGCCCUGACCGACGGGAUGGCACGCCCGAUAAUGCCGAGCCCCCCCUAUAAACCCCCCCUAGCCAGGGGGAGAAGGGGGACUCUUCCUCCACUAAAAAACCGCCCCCCACUUCAUUCUCUAACGGGAUCGUCGGAGGGGUCGGGUCGAGCACCCCGACCCGACCUUUGUGCAGGUACCAAGCCGAGGCUCCCCGUCCGGAC